CAGGACACCUCUGUAACCCUGGUCCCCUAUCCAGGCCCUGCACAGAGCACUGUUGGAGCCCCAGGCCUGUGCUUGCAAGGACAGGAAACAGGGCCUGGCAGCCAGUGGCCCAGAAGACACCCCCGCCCCACCUCCACCCCUGCUUGGCCCAGAAGACACCCCCGCCCCACCUCCACCCCUGCUGUGCUCAGAUGCAAGCGUGAACAUUGUCCCUUGCCUGGUCCUGUUUGCACUAUGGAGGCCUCGCUCACUCCUCAGCUAUUUCCUGAUCAUAGAAGUUGGAAAAUAUAGCUGAAUGGUCAGCCUGACAUGUGAAGUCCCCCUCGGUCUAGUGUUAUCAUGACCUGUGUUAUUGACACCACUCUAGAGCCUCCCAUCCCAGGCAGUGGGUCCCACCCACCCUGCCCAGGUGCCAGAGGGGCCAUGCUUAUAGCCCACGAGCCAUGGGGGUCUCUAUUGGCCAUCCUGCCUCCCCAUCACCUGGUGUGUGGCCUCUAGACUGUGUCAGACUCAGCUCAUUUGACAACAGGGUGUUUUUCCUUCAAACCAUGGGGUCACAUUAGUGACAAAUGCCAGCAGGGGCUGAGCCUACUCUGCAUUGGGCAGUGGCUCACAGGUGUAGCAUGCAAGAUGUCACAUUACCUUUGUGGUAACCUGCCGCUUCAGGAGUCAGAUAGCCAGCAGGAGCCUCAGCCUAGAGGGAUCAGGACCCUCUGCUGGGGGGGGAGGAAGAGGAAGAGAAAACAGUCAGCUCUUGAAACCCCCUUUGCUGCCCAAUGAGACCUCCACUCAGGAAGGAGGAAGUCAGAGAGAGCUGGCCCCUGGCCCAAUUGCAUCUCAAAAGCUCCUCCUCCCUAAGUCAGCUGAGUGUUUGUUCUCUGCCUUCUUGGUGUUCUGGCCCUUGGGGCUUCACUGACUGGAGGGAGGAAUGCACACAGAACCAACUCCUAGAGUUGUAAGCCACUUCUUCCUGCCUCUGCACCCUUUUAUCAGAACUCUGGGCACCGUAGUCCCUACUCUCAUUCUUCCUGGGCAGGAACCAGAUACCAGGAACAGCCCCCAGGCCUCAGAGCUCAGAAACCACUCAAACUUGCCAGUCCCAAGCCCACUUACCCUCCUACCAUCCCUUCCUAUGAAAACCACAAUUCUUUCCCUAGCCCCUGCCUCCCUACCUCUGACUCCUGACUGACCCCACUGCUUUCCCAUGGGAUCCCACACAUUGGUGUUUGGGGUGACAGCUCCAGGCUUUGGGUCAGCCCUGGUUCCAGUGGCCCAAGAUCAGCUUGAAGGCAUUCAGACCUGUGUGUGCUGAGAGAUGGAAAGGGGCCCCAGAGGUGACAUCACACCCAGGCAAACAGAGAAGGGGAGGGUGGUCUGGGGGCAAUUGCACCUGGGUGACCCAUCAGAAGGGUGGCAGGUGAGGAGGCCCUGAGCCACCUGAAGACUGGGCCAUGCAAGCUUGGCCUUUGAAAAUCAAGUGCAGUGGCACUGAGAGCCAGGAGGGGUGGCUCAGCCUAGAACUUCAGGCCAUGCAGAAUGAGUACACCACAUGGCACAGGCCAAUGAUUUGUGUUAAAGAAAUGGUUUCCAAAGCCAAAUUUCUUUGAGAAGUAUUAGGCCAAACAGCACCUUUUUGGAUGUGAUUCCUGAUGUGUUGACCCUAAGUGUUCUGUGUAUUCCCAGUCAGGAAUCACAAAACAAAAUCCCCAAAGGAGCCAAGGCAUUUCUAGUUUCAUCAUUCUGCAGAAGAAAAUUUGGAAAAGCAUCCAUCAAGUCAAGGCCAGGGGCCCCCUUGGUCUGUGCAGGCAGACAAAUAGUUUGGGGGGGGGCGGGGCUGGAAGGUGUGAGGUGUGUACAGGAUAUCCCUGGAAGUCCUGGCUCAAUGUGGAAAAAGUCCCAAGCCACCACCUACAGUACCCAGACACUGAGUUGUCCUAAAUGGUCAAUCCAGUGAAAGGAGGAAAGGAAACUGAAACACAGACAGGUUUGGGUAUUUUCUCAAGGCCAUACAGCCAGAAAGUGUCAAGUCAGAAGUGGCUUCCACAUCUGUACCUAUCAUUCGUGGCUCACAGUGCCUCUGCAGCCCCCAUAGGCUGCUAGGAGCUGCCUCCUAUCAGAGGAGCGGCUGGAAGUGUGGUUCAGUCCCUGCUAGACAUAGAGUCCCCAGGCUGCUCCCUCCCUGCACAACCCAGGUGCUGUGAGUUCAGGGGCCACCCAGGUGUGGCGUCAGCUUGACAUGACUGCAACCAUCUGGAGCUGUAACCAUCCUGCCUCUCCUGAGUGACUCUAGUCGGUUUUCCUGCAUAUUUUCCCAGCAAACUAUAAUGCAUAAAUCCAAAAGGUUGAUACACAGAGCUUUGCAACUAGACCUUUUGCAAGGAUGUGCCCAAUUCCUCAGUUCCAGCCAGAAUGAAAUCACUUUUGUCCUGACCAAUAAAUAUGCCCCUCUUUCUGACCCAAAUUGCAGGCAUCCAACUGGUCUUGCUGCCACAUAGGACCAUGCUUCUGUCUGUAAGGCCCCAAUAAAUUUCACUCUGCAACCA
Molecule: long non-coding RNA, 2543 nt
Organism: Heterocephalus glaber (naked mole-rat)
Lineage: Eukaryota; Metazoa; Chordata; Mammalia; Rodentia; Bathyergidae
Source: Ensembl